RNAcentral lists this ribosomal RNA (467 nucleotides) under uncultured bacterium. RNAcentral describes it as "partial 16S ribosomal RNA". It matches the Rfam family "Bacterial small subunit ribosomal RNA", at positions 329 to 795 of the family's 1533-position model. The record is from RNAcentral.
CACCAGACUCCUACGGGAGGCAGCAGUGGGGAAUAUUGCACAAUGGGGGAAACCCUGAUGCAGCGACGCCGCGUGAGUGAAGAAGUAUUUCGGUAUGUAAAGCUCUAUCAGCAGGGAAGAAAAACCGACCUUAGGGUCGCUAGACGGUACCUGAUUAAGAAGCCCCGGCUAACUACGUGCCAGCAGCCGCGGUAAUACGUAGGGGGCAAGCGUUAUCCGGAUUUACUGGGUGUAAAGGGAGCGUAGACGGCGGCGCAAGACUGAAGUGAAAUGACGGGGCUUAACCCCGGAACUGCUUUGGAGACUGAGCAGCUAGAGUGCAGGAGAGGUAAGUGGAAUUCCUAGUGUAGCGGUGAGAUGCGUAGAUAUUAGGAGGAACACCAGUGGCGAAGGCGGCUUACCGGGCUGUAACUGACGUGGAGACUCGAAAGCGUGGGGAGCAAACAGGGUUAGAUACCCACGUACAA